GACGAACGCUGGCGGCGUGCUUAACACAUGCAAGUCGAACGGAAAGGCCCUGCUUUUGUGGGGUGCUCGAGUGGCGAACGGGUGAGUAACACGUGAGUAACCUGCCCUUGACUUUGGGAUAACUUCAGGAAACUGGGGCUAAUACCGGAUAGGAGCUCCUGCUGCAUGGUGGGGGUUGGAAAGUUUCGGCGGUUGGGGAUGGACUCGCGACUUAUCAGCUUGUUGGUGGGGCAGUGGCUUACCAAGGCUUUGACGGGUAGCCGGCCUGAGAGGGUGACCGGCCACAUUGGGACUGAGAUACGGCCCAGACUACUACGGGAGGCAGCAGUGGGGAAUAUUGCACAAUGGGCGGAAGCCUAAUGCAGCAACGCCGCGUGCGGGAUGACGGCCUUCGGGUUGUAAACCGCUUUCGCCUGUGACGAAGCGUGAGUGACGGUAAUGGGUAAAGAAGCACCGGCUAACUACGUG
This 468-nucleotide ribosomal RNA is filed under the name uncultured bacterium. Its description in RNAcentral is "partial 16S ribosomal RNA". It matches the Rfam family "Bacterial small subunit ribosomal RNA", at positions 28 to 507 of the family's 1533-position model. The record is from RNAcentral.